AUCACGAAUUGACAAAAAAUAUAUUACAUGCCCCCCAUCUAUGAACUACAGACCAUUACAAACUCUUCAAUUAUACUAAGGCAAGUGUAAAAAAUCUCAUCUAUAUGUCAAAAGUAAUAAUAUCUCAACCAACUUAACCACAACAUAUUAAUGAUAUUUAUAUUACUCAUGUUAGAACAUAUGCUAGAAAUUCUUUGUCCUGGUUUACAGACAUAAUUUUCUUAUUUAUUUAGGUCAUUCUUAAUUUUUUUUGUUUAAUUUUGUUUUUUAUUAAUCAGAAUAAAAAUGAUCUAAUACAUGAUUGGGAAAUUGUACAAUUAAAACAAAGCUGGCCCAGAAAUCCAAUGACCCAAUUAAAAGAAAAAGGUUCGGCCCAAUUGCUUGACUCUCUCUACAAUACUCCAUUAAAAGGAGUAGGGUUUUUUAAUUCAUCAGCAAACCUGAUCUUUAUAUUUCACCGCCUCCUUCAUCAUGCUCAGCUUCCUCAACCUCUAAUUUUUUCUUCUUCAGUUUUGGGUGAUCAACACCCUGCCUUUGCUACUCAUUUUGGAUGCUUCUAGCUUGCAUGAGUGAGUUAGCUUCUCUAUUUCUUCUUAUGAACUUCAUAUUUCGAUCUUGUGUUUUCUUCAGGUGAAAUCUUCAGUACUCUUUCCAUGGUUGUUUUUGGUGCUUAAAAGGAGGGUCUUGUCAUCUAAAACUUAUUUCUUUCUUCUUCUAUAGCGUGGAUGGAGAUACUGGGAAGCUCGGACCCAUUGAUAGUUGAAGAGGAACAAGAAAUUCAGUUGCUUGUAUUCAAUCUGACUUGGUGACCCCUGAUCUAUUGAGAUUUCCUUUUUGUUGGCUGGUGUAGAUAGGGAUAGCAUUUUCACUUUUUUGAGCUACCACAUUUUCAUACUUUUAUCAUGUCCCCUUUCUA
Capsicum annuum is the source of this 916-nucleotide long non-coding RNA. RefSeq lists it as uncharacterized. The transcript has 2 exons. The record is from RefSeq and is a predicted model, not a curated record. Lineage: Eukaryota; Viridiplantae; Streptophyta; Magnoliopsida; Solanales; Solanaceae.